GAUGAACGCUGGCGGCGUGCCUAAUACAUGCAAGUCGAGCGAACAGACGAGGAGCUUGCUCCUCUGACGUUAGCGGCGGACGGGUGAGUAACACGUGGAUAACCUACCUAUAAGACUGGGAUAACUUCGGGAAACCGGAGCUAAUACCGGAUAAUAUAUUGAACCGCAUGGUUCAAUAGUGAAAGACGGUUUUGCUGUCACUUAUAGAUGGAUCCGCGCCGCAUUAGCUAGUUGGUAAGGUAACGGCUUACCAAGGCUACGAUGCGUAGCCGACCUGAGAGGGUGAUCGGCCACACUGGAACUGAGACACGGUCCAGACUCCUACGGGAGGCAGCAGUAGGGAAUCUUCCGCAAUGGGCGAAAGCCUGACGGAGCAACGUCGCGUGAGUGACGAAGGUCUUCGGAUCGUAAAACUCUGUUAUUAGGGAAGAACAAAUGUGUAAGUAACUAUGCACGUCUUGACGGUACCUAAGCAGAAAGCCACGGCUAACUACGU
This 496-nucleotide ribosomal RNA is filed under the name uncultured bacterium. Its description in RNAcentral is "partial 16S ribosomal RNA". It matches the Rfam family "Bacterial small subunit ribosomal RNA", at positions 28 to 506 of the family's 1533-position model. The record is from RNAcentral.